GUCGAGCGGGGAGCAAUCCCAGCGGCGGACGGGUGAGUAACACGUAGGUAAUGUGCCUUUUGGUGGGGAAUAACCGUGGGAAACCAUGGCUAAUACCGCAUAUCGUGCUUCGGCAUGAAAGCCUUCGAGGCAACUCGAGGGCGCCAGUUGAGCAGCCUGCGUCCCAUUAUUUAGUCCUAGUUGGUAGGGUAAUGGCCUACCAAGGGUACGAUGGGUAGCUGGUCUGAGAGGAUGAUCAGCCACACUGGAACUGAGACACGGUCCAGACUCCUACGGGAGGCAGCAGUGGGGAAUAUUGCGCAAUGGGGGAAACCCUGACGCAGCCACGCCGCGUGAGUGAUGAAGGCCUUCGGGUUGUAAAGCUCUGUCGGGAGGGACGAAGGGGAAACCCUGACGGUACCUCGCAAGAAAGCACCGGCUAACUCUGUGCCAGCAGCCGCGGUAAUACAGAGGGUGCAAGCGUUGCUCGGAUUUACUGGGCGUAAAGCGUACGCAGACGGUGAAGAAGGUCGGAUGUGAAAGCCCCGGGCUCAACCCGGGAACUGCAUCCGAAACCGCUUCGCUAGAGUAUGGGAGAGGAAAGCGGAAUUCCUGGUGUAGAGGUGAAAUUCGUAGAUAUCAGGAGGAACACCUGCGGCGAAGGCGGCUUUCUGGCCCAUUACUGACGUUCAGGUACGAAAGCGUGGGUAGCAAACAGGAU
This 700-nucleotide ribosomal RNA is filed under the name uncultured bacterium. RNAcentral describes it as "bacterial SSU rRNA". It matches the Rfam family "Bacterial small subunit ribosomal RNA", at positions 61 to 778 of the family's 1533-position model. The record is from RNAcentral.